UUGUCGUCCGUAGUCGGGUGCGAGCCUUGAGAGGAGAUCUUGGUUUGUUCUUAUGCCUUUACCCAGCCAAUCCCGUAGGUGGUCAAAUCAGCCCGCAGAUAAGGAACACCUGUAGAGAGAUGUCACACAAACAGCGACACAGCAAAUAUACAGAACGAGAUCGGCUGUCCCGCCCCCAAACAUGUGUUCAAAUGAAUGACAUUUACUCCCGUUACACAUUCUCAUCAUGUAACCUUACCUUUAAUCAUUUUCACAUGAUCUGUCAGAUAUUCAUUAAAUAACACCCAUCUACAGUAAACAAUUUUUAACUUGUUGCUUGCUAUACGGUUUUAUAUAACUAUUCCGACUGGGCUCAAACUCGCACCCUUGGACACCGGAGGAAGGGGUGCAAAUAAUUAAGCCCUGGAUUUGUUAUCUGUCGCUAGCAGGUUUGUUACAGUUUGGUUGUCUAUAGCAUAUAGACAUUUUAGUUUCAAAGCCAUAAACAAUCUCUUUGCUGUCCUCUACCUUCAUUCCUUCUUAGCAGGCUUAGGCAGCUAGCUAACACUUUUCCUCACGAAUAAAGAUGAUGAAUUACAAGUCUGGGUUUUCUUGCGUUUAUGUUUUCACCAGCAGAUAUUCAUACAGGAAAGAUAAUUUUGUAAAACUGGAACAGACAAAAACAAAGACAUACAUAAAUACCACGUAAAACAAUGUGGCACAAAGAUAGCAUGAAUGCGAGAGCUAGCAUCAUUUAGCUAUUUUCUAGCUCUGAAUUCGCGACAUUUGUAAAACGUACAUUCAACCUAUUUCCAAAAAUGUCUAAACGGCAUUUACACAGCAACAAAACACACUAUAAAAUGCACUUACAGACAAAUACUAUCCAAAGCUCACGCGUGGAAGAAUGCUCUUCGAGGAUGACUUCAGCUUAACCAGUGUGUUCUUUCGUGGUACAACUCAAUAAGUGAAAACCAAGCUUGCGCGUCUUCCCUUGUGUGGGCUGUCCACUAGGUGGCAGUAUUUCCUCAUCUAUAACUACUAAAGCUACUGAAUUUAGCAUUUCCUAGAGAAGGCAGAACAAUCUCAGUAAUCUGUCAAAAUGUGUGCGUUUGUAUACGGGCUACGCUUCCCGUGAUAGCAGAGAGAGACAAAAUAAUAGGCCAUUGAGAGGUAGCAUUAUGUUUUAUCCCAUCUAUGACCCCAGUAUGAUGGCCAUGGAUAUACCAGUUUGAAAUCAAUCUCACUCUUUAAAUAGCCCUGUGUACACCUCGGUUUAUCAAACAAAGGCUGACAUUGUGUUUUGGGCAAUUCAAACAGCACGAUGGUCACAUGAAUUGUUAUUUCUGUCUAUAAAAACCUCAUAAAUGUUUUCUCCGUUAUCAACGCGAGUGUAUGGGUAACCUAUCGGGGCGAUGUCUCAAACUGCCUGAAAAUGUUUCAACUCCUAGCACUGCCUCUGGUCAAAGGUCUGACAUGUUGACAUGUGACAACAACGCCUUUAUUUGGAUAGACUGCCUGCAGAGGCUUUACAUAUGGCUUGUUGAAGUUCAAGUCCCGUCUUCAAGUUCUAAUCAUGUUCACUGAACAUCACGUUAACCAAACCCAACCCCUGACUUCAACCUUUAACCUUUAACCUUUAACCAACCCGUACCUUGUUUGGUAAAGAGCCUAUUGGGGACCAUCCAAAUAAAGUGACCCAAAGCCUACACAUGUAUGCUAUGGUGGUGGAAAAUCCAGAUCACACAGGGCAACCUCUCCCAUCUCCUCUAUGAUGAGCUGAGGCAGAUGAGGAGCACCUUUCACCACGGCCUCAUCUCCCCCAUGUGCAAGACCAGGCCAUUCAGGCACUCCUUUGUGCCGACAGCCAUCUGGCUGCACCACCGCACCUGAGACUCUUUUUGCACCUCCCCAGGACACUCUACAACUGCAAUUAUAUACACUUUGGACACUUCAAUCUCUUUAAAUACAUGAACCAGUGAUCAUUUUUUUUUUUGCUCUUUAUCAUGGCAUUUUGCACUACAUGUAUAUUUGGACACUGCAAAUACAUGAGCCUGUUUAGUGCACACUAUCAUUCCUUGUUGUAGCUGAUUUGUUUUUUAAUUAAUUUAUUUAUUUAUUUAUUCAUAUCUACAUUUCUUCAUCUGUCUUUGUGCUGCUGAUUAACACACAGUCUUAUCUCAUCUUAUCUUAUCUAACAACAGAUUCCUGGUGGUUUCCUGGUGAAAGGAUUUUGCCAGGAGUCCAGUUAAUGGGAGUGUGUCCUGAUAAGAGGCUGGUGCCUUGCCUAUUUAAACAAACACAACACUUCUCUAGCUGAGACUUUUCACAAUGCAGGGACAGACACUCUUCUGACUCAUUGGUAUGUUGCCUGUACAAGACCAGUUCUUGGGAAGUGCUCUGGGUUGCCAUUCUACUUGUAGCAAAAUUAGGCCUACAUCACGGUGUCGCUAAAUUAUUGGCCUAUUUGUUUUUUGAAAGAUGUGAUGUAAAUAGAAGAAGUAAAAUGACACACUUUUCCCCCAGCAUUCAUUGACCUGUGCCAGAAUGGCAUAGAGGCCAGGAAAUCCACAGUCUGUGAAGGCGGGACAGCACAUCUCUCCUGUGGUACAUCAAAGACAUAUAUGCCUACACAUGGGCUACAUAUGCAAAUCAUAAACAAAGAAACAAUGAAACAAACAAAACAUUUAAACACCUUUAAAACCGAUUCAGUGAACCUACUACCAUCUCAUAUUUCCAUUGGCAGCAGAUUAAAUCUCUUGACAGAUGUGGUCAUCCAAAGUAACUCAGAGCUCAUACAUUGAUGACCAUUGGCACUCCAGGGAAAGAGCUCAUACAUUUAUGACCAUUGGCACUCCAGGGAAAGUGAAACCCAGGGACUGAGAUUGCUCCCAUCACACUACAUGAAUCAUGUUCCUGGAAAAGGAACUUCCUGUUUGUUGAAUAGACAUUUCUGUAACUGAGUGUCAUUUCACAGAAUUGGGUUUUAUCAAGGUGGACUCAGCCAUGUAAUCAGAUUUCAAACACCCAAUGCCACCAGUACCAGUCUCAACGCAUCAUGUCUGACAGGUACCAAACCUGAAAAUAAUGCACAUACCUGGAAUGUUAUACACACUAAUGCACACAUGCACAGUAAAACACGAAUACUAUAUAUCAUUUAUUUUAUAGAUGCUAUGGCAUUUCUAGUUGUGGUGUACCCGGUGCAAACUCUGUGUUCUCUGAUCCUUUCGCUGGGACUGGGAUGUAUCUUUCACAUGCCUCCCAGCCAGUAAGUGUGACUAUAUAUUUACAACAAGCUUUUCAAAUGUGACCGUACCUACUGACCCUCUAUGGUGUUAUACUAAAUGGUUCUUCCUUUUUGACACACAGGAAGAAGUGUAACGUGUGAACACGACCUGAGUGUUAUCAGCUGUGGUAAACCUUCAAACACAUGUAAACAAGUCAUGCAGAGGUUCACAGGAUGUGACUCAGAAAUUCUGAGCAUUAGACCUAGUUUUAUAAUAAUAACUGACGACAGAACCUACCACAUUACAUAUCCAAAGGUAAUAUGUAUAAUAAUAACACUAAUAUUCAUUCAUUCACAAUUUAUUUCAUUUUUAAAAUCGAGUUUUGUUAUAUUUGUAAUUGUUAUUUCAAUGCUGAUUUAUCUCAAGCCAGGGGAAAACUGUCUAUUCAUCACGCCAAUUAUGGAAGGAGGGAUCGCCUGACCUGCCCCCAUAGACUAGCAACAACCUCCCACUGUUACCACUCUCAAACAGACAACCUACGCUCCAGUUCAGAGUCUUUCAAUUCAAGCUGAUAAAUAGCCUUUAAAAAGUCAAAAGCAAGGAUUGUGUUGCUGUAGCUCAACUGGCAAAUAAACAACACCAGGGUCAUUGGUGUUGAUACCCAGAGACACCCAGACUCAUAAUAAUGUUCAUCCGUACAACAGUGUAAGUUGCUUUGGAUAAAAGCAUCGGCUCAAUGACUGCAUGCAAAUUAAAUUGCAACAAGGUUGCAUUCCAAAUCCUGUCUUUGUUUAUCAGAAAUGCAAAGACUAAAAGGAUCAUGUGUGUGCUUUCUAAUCUGUCCAAUCUCUGCAGAUGCAAUGGGAAGAAGUCUUGUGAGUUAGAUGCUUCAAACGCCAUCUUCUCUGAUCCCUGUCAGGGUGUCAGCAAAUACUUGGAGGUGACAUAGUUGUGUGUGUGUACAGUGAUGUAUCUCUAAAGUAAUGACACACAGAGGGGUUCUGAUGUGUGCCCUCUGUUCUCAACACAGAAAGCUGUUCAUUGUGAUGUUUGUGUUUGUCCAUCACAGCUGAUGGGGAUCACCAGGAGAUGGGGGGUCCGGGCCAAUCGAUGGGUGGGAGGCAGGCUAGAGUUGGCAUGUAUUGUGCUGCUUCUUAAAUCACACACAGCAGUGUAAGAAGGAAAGCACAAAUGAAUGUGUGUACAUUGCAAACAUUUCAAAAUAUGCAAAAUGACUGCUGAAUCAGCUGUUUACCAAGUUAGAAAUGACACAUAUGACAUACCAGAAUACAUUUGAGUUUUUGUUGUUUGGAUAUAUUAAAAUAUAUUUUAUUCAUCUGCACAGUAAUGUAGUCAAGAGGACAUUCAUGUGUAUGGCAACAAAAAGCACCACUGAACACUAAACAUUUCUAAAUGGAAUAAAUGCAUUUCAGAGUGAUAA
Molecule: long non-coding RNA, 4644 nt
Organism: Clupea harengus (Atlantic herring)
Lineage: Eukaryota; Metazoa; Chordata; Actinopteri; Clupeiformes; Clupeidae
Exons: 2
Source: RefSeq, a predicted model, not a curated record